RNAcentral lists this long non-coding RNA (210 nucleotides) under Elaeis guineensis (African oil palm). RNAcentral describes it as "long non-coding RNA (EGUI_LNC022058)". The record is from RNAcentral. Lineage: Eukaryota; Viridiplantae; Streptophyta; Magnoliopsida; Arecales; Arecaceae.
CUCUCCUUGGUAAUCUAAAUUACCAACCCAAAAAAAUACCAAACGUGAUAAUCUGAUGGGGUCUUUUAAAUUACCAGCAAUUUUAAUAGAUUGCCAGCUACCAAACACAAUCUAAAUGUUUCUGAUGAUGUUUAUACACGUCACCGACUAUUUAAUAUUUUUUGCUAUCAAGUACAGAAAAGAAAAGAUGCAAAGCGAAGCUUAGAGCAG